RNAcentral lists this ribosomal RNA (490 nucleotides) under uncultured bacterium. RNAcentral describes it as "partial 16S ribosomal RNA". It matches the Rfam family "Bacterial small subunit ribosomal RNA", at positions 30 to 507 of the family's 1533-position model. The record is from RNAcentral.
AUUGAACGCUGGCGGCAGGCCUAACACAUGCAAGUCGAAUGGUAACAGGAAACAGCUUGCUGUUUCGCUGACGAGUGGCGGACGGGUGAGUAAUGUCUGGGAAACUGCCUGAUGGAGGGGGAUAACUACUGGAAACGGUAGCUAAUACCGCAUAACGUCGCAAGACCAAAGAGGGGGACCUUCGGGCCUCUUGCCAUCAGAUGUGCCCAGAUGGGAUUAGCUAGUAGGUGGGGUAACGGCUCACCUAGGCGACGAUCCCUAGCUGGUCUGAGAGGAUGACCAGCCACACUGGAACUGAGACACGGUCCAGACUCCUACGGGAGGCAGCAGUGGGGAAUUUUGCACAAUGGGCGCAAGCCUGAUGCAGCCAUGCCGCGUGUAUGAAGAAGGCCUUCGGGUUGUAAAGUACUUUCAGCGGGGAGGAAGGGAGUAAAGUUAAUACCUUUGCUCAUUGACGUUACCCGCAGAAGAAGCACCGGCUAACUCCGUG